This 284-nucleotide ribosomal RNA is filed under the name Bacillus sp. TK2.5. RNAcentral describes it as "partial 16S ribosomal RNA". It matches the Rfam family "Bacterial small subunit ribosomal RNA", at positions 83 to 357 of the family's 1533-position model. The record is from RNAcentral. Lineage: Bacteria; Bacillati; Bacillota; Bacilli; Caryophanales; Bacillaceae.
UCCCUGAUGUUAGCGGCGGACGGGUGAGUAACACGUGGGUAACCUGCCUGUAAGACUGGGAUAACUCCGGGAAACCGGGGCUAAUACCGGAUGGUUGUUUGAACCGCAUGGUUCAAACAUAAAAGGUGGCUUCGGCUACCACUUACAGAUGGACCCGCGGCGCAUUAGCUAGUUGGUGAGGUAAUGGCUCACCAAGGCAACGAUGCGUAGCCGACCUGAGAGGGUGAUCGGCCACACUGGGACUGAGACACGGCCCAGACUCCUACGGGAGGCAGCAGUGGUCA